This 1344-nucleotide long non-coding RNA is filed under the name Anas platyrhynchos platyrhynchos (common mallard). RNAcentral describes it as "lncRNA (ENSAPLG00000020985.1)". Lineage: Eukaryota; Metazoa; Chordata; Aves; Anseriformes; Anatidae. The record is from RNAcentral.
AUGCGACAUACCAUCAGUUAUCAUGGACAACAGACAACUGGAAAGAAAGAAAAAAUAAUUGAACACUUGCUAGUUCAAGUCAACUUUUGUGGCAAUUACCAUUCUGAGGACAGACAAGCAAACAGAAGAACCAUCAAGGAACCAUGCAGAGACUUUCAGAAAGUCAGAAGGAGCUUGAAAUUCUGUCUGAAGAGAGUUCUCCCUUUCUCGUGGAACUGUUUGUUUGUUCCAUUGGUUUGCAAAUGAAGCACCCUGUCGUGCUGUGCUCGAGAGUUGAUGGAUGAAUCUGUUUUACACUAGAAAUGAUCUCUACACUGCUAGUCAAGCUCUUUUUGUCCCCCAUGGAUUCUGUGUAUGGCUGGUUUUCCCCAUACGGAAUAAGAAGUAAACAGAGACUGAUAGAUAUUGGCUUUCAAUCAUCUGAACUGUCAGCUGCUGUGCAUUAAGAAGUUAUCUAUGCCUUUAAUUGUGAGUAGGAAAGGGAUUUAGAGCUUGCAGAAGCGUAAUUGUUUCACAGUAAAUCUACAGAUAAGACCCUCUUCCUUACUGCCCACACACAGAUCCACUGACUUUAAAAUAUUAAAUUGUCCCUUUCCCUUCAAAUGCUAGUGCCUAAAACAAGAUCUAUUAUCCUGAAGCCUUCUUUGUAGCUUGGGCUUGAACAAAAUGUCAAUAUUGCAAACCAAUAACCAAAAUGAGGAAAUAUUAAAAUGAAGCAAAAGGCAGCCUUUACUAUUGCCAUAUUUCUUUACUGCAUUAAUUUUGAAACAUGCAUCUAUAUUCUGUCUAAUCCCAGUCUUAGUGCCAAAAGUUUUGGUAAUUGACAGGCUUCUUCCUAUAUGACUGUUGCUGGAGACAAGGUGUAAGUUUGUGGGGGAGGGCAAGGCAGGAGAAGAUGUUUAUCUUUUAAUGUGCUAAAUACUGAGAAAUUUUCUUUUCAAUGUACUUGAUCAGCUAAAAUAGGCUUGUUUUGAUGUCUGAAUCUCAAAGUUUGGUGAAUUGCUUAGUCUUUGUUAUAGAUGGGCUUGAAAUCAAGGGAGCAGAAUGCAAAAAAUGCUUAAGAAAAUCAGGUAAACAGUCCUGUGAUUAAAUAAGUAUCUGCAGUCUCCAUGGAGUUGCCUUUGUUUCUUUUGAGCUCUAUCAAAUUUAUUGUGUCCGUGUAGUAAGAACGCAAGAAUAUAUGCCUAUUUAGCAAAAAGUACCUGUGUAAACAAGCUAAUGAAAGUCCCAGUUGAUUGUAUUUCCUAGCCUGCCUAAGAAGGCAAGUGAUUUUGCUUAUUGAUAUUAUUAACAAAAGAAGAAUGCACUUCAGAAAAAAAAAUAAAAAAAUGUCUCUGUUUAUCA